RNAcentral lists this long non-coding RNA (694 nucleotides) under Gallus gallus (chicken). Lineage: Eukaryota; Metazoa; Chordata; Aves; Galliformes; Phasianidae. The record is from RNAcentral.
GAUGACUGCAGCUCUAGACUUUGUGGUGUUGGAUGCAACCACUUCCUCAGAUGUUCUCGAUACUACAGUUAGACUUAAUAGCACCCUGAAUAAAAAGAGAAAAAAAUGAAGAUUCUGAUUUGUCUCAGAACAGCAGAUGAGGAUAUUUGUGGACAAAGUGGAUCAAGAAUCAGUCAUCACGCAGCAAUUGGUUUCACACAUCGUUUCACUUUCAGUGAAUUCUAUUGUGUUCAGGCCAUCUUAGCGACAAAGAAUGUCAGUGCGUCUGAAAGAAAACCAUGCCAAUCCAACUUCAAUCCUGCUCAGCACAGCAAUACGUAUGUUUGAGAGAACCAAUUUUAUUUUAGAUAUGAAGUGUGUUUAUGCAUUAAUAUCAUAUUUUUGUAGUCACAUCUGCAAAAUUUAAAACAAAUUUGAGUGAAACAUCUCAGAAAAUUAAGCAUAUAAACAUCUGCAGGACUAAAAAAUGCUACAAAAACAUGUACUUAAUAUGAACAGGAUGAUUGAUAUGCAAAACAGUUUAGAUGUUAUAAAGUCCAGGUCCAGUUUUCUGGCUUCAUUCAGCUUUGAAAUAAACAAAAAUGUACAGGUGUGCUCUAGCUUUUCUCAGUGACACAGAAACUAGGAAUGGAUUCAGCAUUUAUCACCAUUUAUAGGUCUCCACCCAUAUGCAGUGAAUGGCUCAUACCUUGGG